GAGUGUGCAGGUUGAACUCGUGUU
This 24-nucleotide non-coding RNA is filed under the name Arabidopsis thaliana (thale cress). The record is from RNAcentral. Lineage: Eukaryota; Viridiplantae; Streptophyta; Magnoliopsida; Brassicales; Brassicaceae.